This 392-nucleotide ribosomal RNA is filed under the name uncultured Thermus sp. RNAcentral's name for it is "bacterial SSU rRNA". It matches the Rfam family "Bacterial small subunit ribosomal RNA", at positions 995 to 1382 of the family's 1533-position model. The record is from RNAcentral. Lineage: Bacteria; Thermotogati; Deinococcota; Deinococci; Thermales; Thermaceae.
ACCCGGGUGAAAGCCUGGGGUGCCCCGCGAGGGGAGCCCUAGCACAGGUGCUGCAUGGCCGUCGUCAGCUCGUGCCGUGAGGUGUUGGGUUAAGUCCCGCAACGAGCGCAACCCCCGCCGUUAGUUGCCAGCGGUUCGGCCGGGCACUCUAACGGGACUGCCCGCGAAAAGCGGGAGGAAGGAGGGGACGACGUCUGGUCAGCAUGGCCCUUACGGCCUGGGCGACACACGUGCUACAAUGCCCACUACAAAGCGAGGCCACCCGGCAACGGGGAGCUAAUCGCAAAAAGGUGGGCCCAGUUCGGAUUGGGGUCUGCAACCCGACCCCAUGAGGCCGGAAUCGCUAGUAAUCGCGGAUCAGCCAUGCCGCGGUGAAUACGUUCCCGGGCCUU